AGAAUGGCCAAAAUUAACAAGGCAGGAAACAGCAAGUUUUGGAGAGGAAGUGGUAGAAGGGGAACCCUUUUACACUGUUAGUGUGGAUGCAAGGUGGUAGAGCCACAUUGGAAGACAGUGUGGAAAUUCCUUAAGAAAUUAAAAAUAGAG
This is a long non-coding RNA of Mustela erminea (ermine), 150 nucleotides long. RefSeq lists it as uncharacterized. The transcript has 3 exons. Lineage: Eukaryota; Metazoa; Chordata; Mammalia; Carnivora; Mustelidae. The record is from RefSeq and is a predicted model, not a curated record.